AAGAAAGUAAGCAAGGGCGCAUGGCGGAUGCCUUGGCUCUCGGAGGCGAUGAAGGACGUGAUAAGCUGCGAUAAGCUCUGGGUAGGUGCAAAUAACCUUUGAUCCAGAGAUUUCCGAAUGGGACAACCCGGCAUUCUGAAGGAAUGUCAUCCAUCUUUGAUGGAAGCUAACGCAGGGAACUGAAACAUCUUAGUACCUGUAGGAAAAGAAAAUAAUAAUGAUUCCCCUAGUAGUGGCGAGCGAACGGGGAAUAGCCCAAACCACCCAUGUUACGGCAUGUGUGGGGUUGUAGGACCACGAUGUCGCAAGACAUUUGAUGAGUAGAAUCCUCUGGAAAGUUGAACCAUAGACGGUGAUAGUCCGGUAUACGAAGUCAAAUUAAGCGUAGUGGUAUCCUGAGUAGCGCGGGACACGAGAAAUCUUGCGUGAAUCUGCCGGGACCAUCCGGUAAGGCUAAAUACUCCCGAGAGACCGAUAGCGAACCAGUACUGUGAAGGAAAGGUGAAAAGCACUUCGAA
This 518-nucleotide ribosomal RNA is filed under the name Bacteroides thetaiotaomicron. RNAcentral's name for it is "partial 23S ribosomal RNA". It matches the Rfam family "Bacterial large subunit ribosomal RNA", at positions 1 to 530 of the family's 2925-position model. Lineage: Bacteria; Pseudomonadati; Bacteroidota; Bacteroidia; Bacteroidales; Bacteroidaceae. The record is from RNAcentral.